UGGAAUGUGAAUACCUGUUGCUCUCAGGUGUAACCUCAUUCCAGUCGUGGAGAGAAAAGAUUCCCAGAUUGGAAGCAUGAUAUCUGAGAGCAAAGGAGACGGGGGGAGAAGGUAAAAACAAAUGGAAGCUGGGAGAGUACAGAGAGUACUUGAUUCUUGAAUUUGAAAGAGCUAAAAACAUUAAAAAUAUUUCAGAGCUCUUUUUCUUUCUAUAUUUGAAAAUCUUAGGAAAAAAUGAUUGAUAGUGAGGUUUUGUUGUCAUGAAAUGUACCUCCAACGACACCAGAGAGACAAACAGACAACAAAAAGAAUCAUCUUCUUUCCUAUCCCAAUGUCUGUAUUUAUAAAAUCUUUGCAGUUAAAGUAAUUCCAGAAUUCUCAAAACAGUUUUGUGUAGCAUUUCAUCUGCAUAUGCAAAAUGCUCUAUCAGGGAUUCUUCUUUCUAAUUUCUAUUGCUACUGUGAAAGCAGUAAUAAGUCACAAAAUUAUUGUGUGUCUUUGGAGAGAGAAAUUAAUCUACCCCAUGCUUUGUUAUUUCCCCAUCUGUCAAAGAGGAGGAUACUUGGCCAGACAUGUAAAUAGCACUGAGAUGUUUGGAUCCUGACAUGCUGAGAGCCACGAAGACUUAUACAUUGUUUGUGUCCUCAGCUUUAGAAAAUGAAGAGUAAGAAGCAGCUACGUGCAAAGUCUGGACACAGAAAUAAUAUCCUGACUUGUUCAUAUCUUGACUUCCAAACAGUGAUGGAAAACAGUUGUUGGUAAAAGUUGCAGCGCUCAGUAAGCUUAUCGUGAUUGCACGUUCCUGAGAAGAAGCAGACGUUAUCAGUGCAGAGUGGGAAUGUUGUCUAAAAUAGGUUUUAUCUCCAAGUUUCUCAGAUGAGAGCAUUUGCAAUUCCCCGAAGCAGAAAAUAAAGAGGCGAAUCCAGAGCAGCGGGAAUGAGGUUUCACUGCAAGCAUCAAAACAAAACCUCAACAGAAAUCGAUAUCACUUUGCAAUUUAACAAGAAGCAAAUAUUUUGACUGGAGAAGAAGUAAAUAAAAAGAAAAUAGAUGCAUUCUGAACGUUGGUCUCAAAACUCGUCAUCUCCUACAAACUCCAACCACUGAAGUGAAACCUGUUGGUCACUGUCAUAGUGUGUUUUUCAGAACACAUCUGGCAUUUGUUCUGCUGUGUGAGGAAAGCUAUCAGUGCUUCUUUUCCAGCGUUGCUAUCAACUCACAGACCACGCUUCACAGAACAAACUGUGCCAGCAAAAUGGGCACGAGCCUCCCUGAGGAGAGGAAUUGAAUAAGUAUUGAUAGGGCAUUUUUAAAGGGUGAAUUGAAAUAUUUUAAGCGCAAGGCAUUAUAGUUGAUAUAUGAAAAAGAAAAAAGACACAACUAUGUAAUGUUUGUUCUUCCUAUGGCAAGGCAUGCAAAGUGCCAGGAGGAAUCCAAGGAGAUGUAUUCUGCCCAUUAACUAAACACUUACUAGCAAUAGAGAGCCUGCUAAUGAGACAGGCUCACUUCAGCACUGAAGCAAAUUUGACUGUUGAAUUUAAUAAUGAGGCUAUUAUGUUCCACAAAUUGGCACAUGCGCAUCGUGAGUGUUUUUAAUAUUUCAUUUUUUUGUGUGUCUGCUUCUCAUUAAAAGCAAAGCAAUAAAUUGAAGUGAAUUUGUCUGCAGACUUAAUUUCUUAAUGGGACAGAAAGCUCCGUGUCACUUCCAUGAGAAGACGGCAAAAGUGCUAGCAGAGACCAUGAGAAAGGAUACAUGCAGAAAAACCAGCCUGAACUGUAUUAUACUACAGGUUUUAUUAUAGGCUUGGGACUCACAGCCUUGUUCCCCCAUGAGGGGUUCCCUAAAUGAGAGUCUGCAUGAGUGGUUGGUUGAGGUAUGGAUACGUCUUUGACAGUUGUUUGGAGUAUGAGAAAACCUUUCUGGUCCACACUGAAACAAGUACAAAAGUCCAAACCUUGCACGUCUUUCUGGCUCUACCAUUGAGAGAAUAUGGUUUUGGUCAUCAGAAAUAUUAUGGUUAUGAUUAUAUCACACACUAGAGAAUCUCGUUGCUUCUAUAGUCCAUGAGUUUUCAUUGGAGAACACUUGGAAGCCAAAGGAUCAUCUUCCUACCCUUCUCCUUGGAGAGAGCAGCAACUUCUGGAUCUCAACCUAAAGCAUACAGUAUUUACCAACUGCCUGACUUUACCACGUCGUUGCCGUUACCGCUUUCAAUCCUGCAACAAUUCUCCAGCCUUGUAAAUAUUCGUCAUUAGAGCUCAGGAGCUUUCUAUUUAAUAACACUUCUCUCCUUAUUUAAUAAAGACUGCUCUAUUAAA
Long non-coding RNA from Gallus gallus (chicken), 2319 nucleotides. RefSeq lists it as uncharacterized. The record is from RefSeq and is a predicted model, not a curated record. Lineage: Eukaryota; Metazoa; Chordata; Aves; Galliformes; Phasianidae. The transcript is spliced from 2 exons.